AAUGAACGCUGGCGGCGUGCUUAACACAUGCAAGUCGAACGGAAAGGCCCAAGCUUGCUUGGGUACUCGAGUGGCGAACGGGUGAGUAACACGUGGGUGAUCUGCCCUGCACUUCGGGAUAAGCCUGGGAAACUGGGUCUAAUACCGGAUAGGACCACAUUUUGGAUGGUGUGGUGGAAAGUUUUUCGGUGUGGGAUGAGCUCGCGGCCUAUCAGCUUGUUGGUGGGGUAAUGGCCUACCAAGGCGUCGACGGGUAGCCGGCCUGAGAGGGUGUACGGCCACAUUGGGACUGAGAUACGGCCCAGACUCCUACGGGAGGCAGCAGUGGGGAAUAUUGCACAAUGGGCGCAAGCCUGAUGCAGCGACGCCGCGUGGGGGAUGACGGCCUUCGGGUUGUAAACUCCUUUCGCUAGGGACGAAGCGUUAUGUGACGGUACCUGGAGAAGAAGCACCGGCUAACUACGUG
RNAcentral lists this ribosomal RNA (466 nucleotides) under uncultured bacterium. RNAcentral describes it as "partial 16S ribosomal RNA". It matches the Rfam family "Bacterial small subunit ribosomal RNA", at positions 28 to 507 of the family's 1533-position model. The record is from RNAcentral.